GCCCAGCUGGUGUAGCCAGGCUGGAUCAUCGACCCCUGUCGCGGGUCGGACGAGGGUUCGAAUCCCUCGCUGGGCG
Molecule: transfer RNA, 76 nt
Filed under: Haloarchaeobius sp. HME9146
Lineage: Archaea; Methanobacteriati; Methanobacteriota; Halobacteria; Halobacteriales; Halorubellaceae
Description: tRNA-Asp
Rfam family: tRNA
About the family: Transfer RNA (tRNA) molecules are approximately 80 nucleotides in length. Their secondary structure includes four short double-helical elements and three loops (D, anti-codon, and T loops). Further hydrogen bonds mediate the characteristic L-shaped molecular structure. tRNAs have two regions of fundamental functional importance: the anti-codon, which is responsible for specific mRNA codon recognition, and the 3' end, to which the tRNAs corresponding amino acid is attached (by aminoacyl-tRNA synthetases). tRNAs cope with the degeneracy of the genetic code in two manners: having more than one tRNA (with a specific anti-codon) for a particular amino acid; and 'wobble' base-pairing, i.e. permitting non-standard base-pairing at the 3rd anti-codon position.
Source: RNAcentral